UACGAAGGUGGCGAGCGUUGUCCGGAUUUACUGGGCGUAAAGAGCGCGCAGGCGGUCGUGCAAGUCGCGUGUGAAAGCCCCCGGCUCAACUGGGGAGGGUCACGCGAUACUGCUCGACUCGAAGGCAGGAGAGGGAAGUGGAAUUCCCGGUGUAGUGGUGAAAUGCGUAGAUAUCGGGAGGAACACCAGUGGCGAAGGCGACUUCCUGGCCUGUUCUUGACGCUGAGGCGCGAAAGCUAGGGUAGCAAACGGG
This 253-nucleotide ribosomal RNA is filed under the name uncultured bacterium. RNAcentral's name for it is "partial 16S ribosomal RNA". It matches the Rfam family "Bacterial small subunit ribosomal RNA", at positions 524 to 776 of the family's 1533-position model. The record is from RNAcentral.